UACACACCGCCCGUCACACCAUGGGAGCGGGUUCUGCCAGAAGUAGUUAGCCUAACCUGCAAAGGAGGGCGAUUACCACGGCAGGGUUCGUGACUGGGGUG
RNAcentral lists this ribosomal RNA (101 nucleotides) under uncultured bacterium. RNAcentral describes it as "partial 16S ribosomal RNA". It matches the Rfam family "Bacterial small subunit ribosomal RNA", at positions 1384 to 1482 of the family's 1533-position model. The record is from RNAcentral.